This 378-nucleotide long non-coding RNA is filed under the name Lotus japonicus. RNAcentral's name for it is "long non-coding RNA (LJAP_LNC000110)". Lineage: Eukaryota; Viridiplantae; Streptophyta; Magnoliopsida; Fabales; Fabaceae. The record is from RNAcentral.
GCUAUUCAAACCCCUAUUUCUAUCGUUUUUCAUACCUUCACAUAUGUUGUGUUUAAUUGUUAUUCACACGCUACUUAUAACGAUGCUGAAUUUCGCUAGGACUUAUAUUACAUGACUCUAGGAAGUUUGCCAUUUCUUGCCUUGUUUGUUUUGUUUGUGCUUGGGCGGUCGGCAAACUUCCAGGCUAUAACAAGUGUUGUUGUGGGUAGCUGUCGUGUUGCUGUGAGGAGGUGAUUGUGUUGUUGGCUGAAACUUGUAAGGAUGUUUGUAUAACUUUCUUUGGUUUUGGGUAGGUUCUGAUGCAUUGCUCUUCUGCGAUUCUCCACUGCGGGGAUUGUAGGAAGUAUAUUGGACUUAGGGUGUUAUCGCAUUCUGAAC